UUGGCUCAGGACCGGACGCUGGCGGCGUGCCUAAUACAUGCAAGUUGAACGCUUCUUUCUUAUCGAACUUCGGUUCACCAAGAAAGAAGAGUAGCGAACGGGUGAGUAACACGUGGGUAACCUGCCCAUCAGCGGGGGAUAACACUUGGAAACAGGUGCUAAUACCGCAUAAUACUUUUUCUCUCAUGAGUGAAAGUUGAAAGGCGCUUUUGCGUCACUGAUGGAUGGACCCGCGGUGCAUUAGCUAGUUGGUAGGGUAACGGCCUACCAAGGCNACGAUGCAUAGCCGACCUGAGAGGGUGAUCGGCCACACUGGACGAGACCG
RNAcentral lists this ribosomal RNA (325 nucleotides) under Enterococcus italicus. RNAcentral's name for it is "bacterial SSU rRNA". It matches the Rfam family "Bacterial small subunit ribosomal RNA", at positions 19 to 327 of the family's 1533-position model. Lineage: Bacteria; Bacillati; Bacillota; Bacilli; Lactobacillales; Enterococcaceae. The record is from RNAcentral.